Molecule: ribosomal RNA, 253 nt
Filed under: uncultured bacterium
Lineage: Bacteria
Description: partial 16S ribosomal RNA
Rfam family: Bacterial small subunit ribosomal RNA
Source: RNAcentral
UACGUAGGGUCCGAGCGUUAAUCGGAAUUACUGGGCGUAAAGCGUGCGCAGGCGGUUUUGUAAGCCAGAUGUGAAAUCCCCGAGCUUAACUUGGGAACUGCAUUUGGGACUGCAAGGCUGGAGUACGGCAGAGGGAGGUGGAAUUCCACGUGUAGCAGUGAAAUGCGUAGAGAUGUGGAGGAACACCGAUGGCGAAGGCAGCCUCCUGGGCUAGUACUGACGCUCAUGCACGAAAGCGUGGGGAGCAAACAGG